UGUGCUAGGUGGGGAGUUAGCGGUGCCCUGUACUUGCAAUCCGCUAUAGCAAGGCCGAACGUCCGUCCCGGCGAUUUGUAUGGACGGUCAGACGCAGGUAAGGAAUGUUGAUGGCAAGGUCUUAUGCAACGGACUGCCGUGAACCAUGUCAGGAUAGGGAUAUAGCAGCAUUAAGCGGAUUUGCUUCGUGUGCCAUAAGGUAGCUUUGCAGUAGUUACCUGCCCGCACCUCGCG
This 234-nucleotide signal recognition particle RNA is filed under the name human gut metagenome. RNAcentral describes it as "Bacterial large signal recognition particle RNA". It matches the Rfam family "Bacterial large signal recognition particle RNA", at positions 3 to 228 of the family's 256-position model. Rfam says of the family: The signal recognition particle (SRP) is a universally conserved ribonucleoprotein involved in the co-translational targeting of proteins to membranes. Archaeal SRP consists of a 7S RNA and homologues of the eukaryotic SRP19 and SRP54 proteins. The record is from RNAcentral.